GACAGAGGCCUCGAGCGUUAGGCGGAAUCACUGGGCUUAAAGCGUGUGUAGGCGGGCCCGUAAGUGUCUUGUGAAAUCCCACGGCUCAACCGUGGAACUGCUGGGCAUACUGCGGGUCUUGGGCCAACUAGGGGCAGCCGGAACAAGCGGUGGAGCGGUGAAAUGCGUAGAGAUCAGGAAGAACACCGGUGGCGAAAGCGCUCUGCUGGACCUUAACUGACACUGAGGGACGAAAGCUAGGGGAGCGAAUGGG
Molecule: ribosomal RNA, 253 nt
Filed under: uncultured bacterium
Lineage: Bacteria
Description: partial 16S ribosomal RNA
Rfam family: Bacterial small subunit ribosomal RNA
Source: RNAcentral